This 345-nucleotide unclassified non-coding RNA is filed under the name soil metagenome. RNAcentral's name for it is "partial contains 5.8S ribosomal RNA, internal transcribed spacer 2, and large subunit ribosomal RNA". The stretch from base 1 to 120 matches the Rfam family "5.8S ribosomal RNA", at positions 35 to 154 of the family's 154-position model. The record is from RNAcentral.
GAUGAAGAACGCAGUGAAAUGCGAUACGUAGUGUGAAUUGCAGAAUUCAGUGAAUCAUCGAGUCUUUGAACGCACAUUGCGCCCCCUGGUAUUCCGGGGGGCAUGCCUGUCCGAGCGUCAUUGCUGCCCUCAAGCACGGCUUGUGUGUUGGGCCUCCGUCCUCCUCCCGGGGGACGGGCCCGAAAGGCAGCGGCGGCACCGCGUCCGGUCCUCGAGCGUAUGGGGCUUCGUCACCCGCUCUUGUAGGCCCGGCCGGCGCUUGCCGACACAUCAAUCUUUUUUCCAGGUUGACCUCGGAUCAGGUAGGGAUACCCGCUGAACUUAAGCAUAUCAAUAAGCGGAGGA